GGGGGUGCCAGGUCUCGACUUCGGUCGUCGAGACGGGAGAAGCGAGCCGUGGUCUCCGGAGCCACGUAAAAGAGCCGGAAAACAAACACAAACGCCGACGACAACGUCGCGCUCGCUGCCUAAACCACAGCGAUGUCCGGCCGGUCCCAGCCCUGCGGGCCGGGUCCGGGCAUCAUCUCGCAGGGCUCACCUGACCGGCCUCGUCAACGGGUCGGACAGGGACACUUCAGUUGACUGGGGCUCCUCGCCGAUGCCGGCGACAGCGAGGAGCCCGAGAUCUCACCGCCGGCUGCGCUCGGAGAAGUCCCGUCGAGAAGCUGAAGGACGCGGGUUCGAUUCCCGCCACCUCCACCG
Molecule: transfer-messenger RNA, 354 nt
Filed under: Acidimicrobiales
Lineage: Bacteria; Bacillati; Actinomycetota; Acidimicrobiia
Also listed under: 1 other name
Description: AC-14 sp005888325 Standard tmRNA
Rfam family: transfer-messenger RNA
About the family: Bacterial tmRNA, also known as 10Sa RNA or SsrA, is named for its dual tRNA and mRNA-like properties.
Source: RNAcentral